GGGCGAGUAGCUCAACGGGAGAGCACCCGGUUUACACCCGGGAGGCCGCAGGUUCAACCCCUGCCUCGCCCACCA
RNAcentral lists this transfer RNA (75 nucleotides) under Armatimonadetes bacterium 13_1_40CM_3_65_7. RNAcentral describes it as "tRNA-Val". It matches the Rfam family "tRNA". From Rfam's summary of the family: Transfer RNA (tRNA) molecules are approximately 80 nucleotides in length. Their secondary structure includes four short double-helical elements and three loops (D, anti-codon, and T loops). The record is from RNAcentral. RNAcentral also lists the same sequence under 3 other names. Lineage: Bacteria; Bacillati; Armatimonadota.